Molecule: ribosomal RNA, 442 nt
Filed under: uncultured bacterium
Lineage: Bacteria
Description: partial 16S ribosomal RNA
Rfam family: Bacterial small subunit ribosomal RNA
Source: RNAcentral
GAUGAACGCUGGCGGCGUGCCUUAUACAUGCAAGUCGAGUGGGUUUAGACCCACGGCAAACGGGUGAGUAACACGUAGGUACUUUCCUUGUCACAGGAAUAACCCUCCGAAAGGAGGGCUAAUACCUGAUGUGAUCGCAAGAUUAAAGGGUAUCCGCAAGGAUUACCGGACAAGAAGAGGCCUGCGGCCUAUCAGCUAGUUGGCGGGGUAAAUGCCCACCAAGGCUAUGACGGGUAGCUGGUCUUAUGAGGAUGAUCAGUCACAUGGGCACUGAGACACGGGCCCAACUCCUACGGGAGGCAGCAGUAGGGAAUUUUGCGCAAUGGGCGAAAGCCUGACGCAGCGACGCCGCGUGCGGGAGGAAGGCCUUCGGGUCGUAAACCGCUUUUAUAAGGGACGAACUUUGACGGUACCUUAUGAAUAAGAGGUUGCUAACUCGGUG